Molecule: non-coding RNA, 117 nt
Filed under: Spirosoma oryzae
Lineage: Bacteria; Pseudomonadati; Bacteroidota; Cytophagia; Cytophagales; Cytophagaceae
Source: RNAcentral
GGAAGUCGGCCUUCUGGAAUCGACUUGCAGGAGUUGGUUCCAAACCACUGUAUGCGGCUUUAAUUAAGAGUUGAGGUCGUGAGCGAUACAGGAAAAGGCAGUUGUAAACUGUCAGGU